AUGAACCAUAUCAGGGUGUGGCUGGUGCUGGGGCUCCGGGCGGCCGUGACCCUGCUGGAGUCCGGGGGGCACCUCCAGCCCCACGGGGGGUCCCUGCGCCUCCUCUGCCGAGGCUCCGGCUUCGAUUUUGGACGAACCAGUCUGAUGUGGAUUCGCCAAGGGCCUGGGAAGGGACUGGAAUACGUGGCAGGGAUGGACUACGAUGAUGGCACCACCAGAUACGCGCCCUCAAUCAGGGGCCGGUUCAGGAUCUCCAGGGACAACGGGCAGAGCUCGGUGACGCUGACCAUGAACAACCUCAAGGACGAGGAUUCCGGAUCCUAUUUCUGCGCCAAAUCUGCUGGUGCUAAUAGUGGGUAUGCUGCUGCUGAUGGUGAAGAUGCUCCUGGGAGAAUCACCCACAUCUCAGUGUCCCCACCUGUCCCCACAUCCUGGAUCGUUCCCCCAAACCUCAGCCCUUGA
Non-coding RNA from Passer domesticus (house sparrow), 462 nucleotides. Lineage: Eukaryota; Metazoa; Chordata; Aves; Passeriformes; Passeridae. The record is from the annotation of a RefSeq genome assembly.